GAACGCUGGAGGAGGAGCUCGGUCUUUUUGGGAUGAGUGUGACGGGUGAGUAACGCGUAGUAACUGCCUGGUAGCGGGGGAUACUAUUGGAAACGAUAGCUAAUACCGCAUAAUAGUAGAUGUUGCAUGACAUUUGCUUAAAAGGUGCAAUUGCAUCACUACCAGAUGGACCUGCGUUGUAUUAGCUAGUUGGUGAGGUAACGGCUCACCAAGGCAACGAUACAUAGCCGACCUGAGAGGGUGAUCGGCCACACUGGGACUGAGACACGGCCCAGACUCCUACGGGAGGCAGCAGUAGGGAAUCUUCGGCAAUGGACGGAAGUCUGACCGAGCAACGCCGCGUGAGUGAAGAAGGUUUUCGGAUCGUAAAGCUCUGUUGUAAGAGAAGAACGAGUGUGAGAGUAGAAAGUUCACACUGUGACGGUAUCUUACCAG
Molecule: ribosomal RNA, 435 nt
Filed under: Streptococcus sp. oral taxon 064
Lineage: Bacteria; Bacillati; Bacillota; Bacilli; Lactobacillales; Streptococcaceae
Description: bacterial SSU rRNA
Rfam family: Bacterial small subunit ribosomal RNA
Source: RNAcentral